AGUUAAACAGUACGUGAAAUUGUUGAAAGGGAAACGAUUGAAGUCAGUCGUACCAACGGGAAAUCAAUUCAUCGAGUGUUGAAUUUGGGUCUUGAAGAGUCUUAAAACCUUUGGGUUCAGAUAUUUUCACUUUUUGAACGUAUUUUCUCGUACGGUAGGUUAACAUCGAUUUUGAACAUUAUAAAAUGAUCGGAGGAAUGUAGCUUCGAUCUUGUAUUGAAGUGUUAUAGCCUUUGGUAGAUGUAAUGAUCGAGAUCGAGGAUUGCAACGAAUACCCUUUUGGGCUAUCCGUCUGAUCUCUGAUACGUUGCCUCGGUAACGAAAGCGUGCUUACGGUAUUGAGGUAUUACGGUCAAAAGGUUAGAACGAGAUUACAUUCGUUAAGGAUGUUGACGUAAUGGCUUUAAA
This 408-nucleotide unclassified non-coding RNA is filed under the name uncultured Funneliformis. RNAcentral describes it as "sequence contains 28S rRNA gene". Lineage: Eukaryota; Fungi; Glomeromycota; Glomeromycetes; Glomerales; Glomeraceae. The record is from RNAcentral.